GUGCCAGCAGCCGCGGUAAUACAGAGGGUGCAAGCGUUGCUCGGAAUCAUUGGGCGUAAAGGGCAAGUAGGUGGUCUCGUUUGUCUGAGGUGAAAUCCCUGAGCUUAACUCAGGAACUGCCUCAGAAACGGCGAGACUAGAGUCCUGGAGAGGGUCGCGGAAUUCCUGGUGUAGCGGUGAAAUGCGUAGAGAUCAGGAGGAAUACCAGAGGCGAAAGCGGCGGCCUGGACAGGAACUGACACUCAACUGCGAAAGCGUGGGGAGCAAACAGGAUUAGAUACCCUGGUAGUCC
Molecule: ribosomal RNA, 292 nt
Filed under: uncultured bacterium
Lineage: Bacteria
Description: partial 16S ribosomal RNA
Rfam family: Bacterial small subunit ribosomal RNA
Source: RNAcentral